CCUACGGGUGGCUGCAGUGGGGAAUAUUGGACAAUGGGCGAAAGCCUGAUCCAGCCAUGCCGCGUGUGUGAAGAAGGCCUUCGGGUUGUAAAGCACUUUCAGUGGGGAAGAAAGCCUUGGGGCUAAUACCCUCGAGGAAGGACAUCACCCACAGAAGAAGCACCGGCUAACUCCGUGCCAGCAGCCGCGGUAAUACGGAGGGUGCGAGCGUUAAUCGGAAUUACUGGGCGUAAAGCGCGCGUAGGCGGUCUGAUAAGCCGGUUGUGAAAGCCCCGGGCUCAACCUGGGAACGGCAUCCGGAACUGGCAGGCUAGAGUGCAGGAGAGGAAGGUAGAAUUCCCGGUGUAGCGGUGAAAUGCGUAGAGAUCGGGAGGAAUACCAGUGGCGAAGGCGGCCUUCUGGACUGAAACUGACGCUGAGGUGCGAAAGCGUGGGUAGCAAACAGGAUUAGAUACCCAGUAGUC
Molecule: ribosomal RNA, 464 nt
Filed under: Vreelandella stevensii
Lineage: Bacteria; Pseudomonadati; Pseudomonadota; Gammaproteobacteria; Oceanospirillales; Halomonadaceae
Description: partial 16S ribosomal RNA
Rfam family: Bacterial small subunit ribosomal RNA
Source: RNAcentral